UACAGAGGGGGCAAGCGUUAUUCGGAAUUAUUGGGCGUAAAGGGCGCGUAGGCGGCCUGACAAGUGACGGGUGAAAGCCCUCGGCUUAACCGAGGAACUGCCUGUCAUACUGUCUGGCUUGAGACCGGGAGAGGUGAGUGGAAUUCCCAGUGUAGCGGUGAAAUGCGUAGAUAUUGGGAGGAACACCAGUGGCGAAGGCGGCUCACUGGACCGGUACUGACGCUGAGGCGCGAAAGCGUGGGGAGCAAACAGG
This 253-nucleotide ribosomal RNA is filed under the name uncultured bacterium. RNAcentral's name for it is "partial 16S ribosomal RNA". It matches the Rfam family "Bacterial small subunit ribosomal RNA", at positions 524 to 776 of the family's 1533-position model. The record is from RNAcentral.